Molecule: long non-coding RNA, 4156 nt
Organism: Drosophila ficusphila
Lineage: Eukaryota; Metazoa; Arthropoda; Insecta; Diptera; Drosophilidae
Exons: 3
Source: RefSeq, a predicted model, not a curated record
GCUACUUUUACCGCCGCGGCGGAGAGCGGUCCAAAUGUGCCGAAAAUCGUAGUCGUAAUCUUAAUUGUCCGGGCUUUAAUUGAAAAUGAGUUUUGUAAAAGUAUGUAAAAGCAUUUCCCUUUCAAGCGCAGUCGAGCGCUGCCGGCGAACGGUUCAGGUGAACAGAACGCUAGUUUUGCAUAUCCGAAACACUGAUUUUAGAGAAACUUAACUUGGAAAGUAUUUUUAACUAUAAAUAAUUUUAAAUUCAGAAAUCCUUAACUUUUCUUUUUUAUAUAUUACAACACAUCUUUAAAUUGUAGUAAAGUUAAAAUUUUCAUGUUGAUAUUCAACAAAAAUACUUCUUGUAAUUUGAACUGGUGUUUCUUAAACGGUACGUUUUUACAACAACUAAAUAUUUUAACUCCCUAACGUUGGGAAUAAGGUAGGGAACUAUCAUAAACACAAAUACAAUAUAUUGCUAUGUUACAAUUUAUUUACUUAAACUUAAACUAAAUAAGCCAUUUUAAUAGUUGCUUAAACUAACUAUUACUUUUACUAUUAUUAUUAAGAUAUUUUUUAAAAAGAACUGCCCAAUUGUUAGACCUUAGAAUUUCAUGAUUUGGCCAUUGCUACGGUAUCAUUAAUCUAAAAGAAAAGUGACAUUUAUGGCACAUGCAAGACAAGAUGCUAAGGAAUCCAAGAUGACAAUGACAAAUUGAUAUCGGUUAUUUUUUCCCCGGAUGUGUGUGAAGUCAUUAUGUAUUCGGAAUCGCACCCGAUCACGUUCUGAGGGCAGAGAAUCUAUGUCAAAACUAAGUCGGCGACCAGAAACCAAUGGCAGUGACAGUGCCAAUAAUAAUAAUCAUAACCCCAUUCAGAAAAGGGAAAGUCGCGGAUACAUCAGCGAGAAAUGUGUGGUAUGCGGUCUGCCCUUCUUUCCGAUGGAUGUGCAAAUUUUAUGCGCCGUCAAAUGGAUGGGGCCAAAACAAACAGCUGCCAUGGCUAACUGGCUAACUGACUAACUGGCCAACCACACGAGUGGCGUCCAGCAGGCUGAGUUAUCGACGGGCAAACACCAGUAGCCCGUCCCACGGCUGUCCCCAGCCAGCCAACUAAGUGACUGACUAAGGCGACUAACUAACUGGAUGGGACAGGUAAAAGUACGCAAAUAGACAGUGACCAGGAGCCCAGGCAAAUGAAAGUCAUCUUCUCAUCCCCGGGCUAGAGAGUUUGGAAAUGCGAAUGCGAAAUGCAAAAUCCAAAAUGCGAAAUGCGAGUGGAUCGCUCGCAUCGGAUAGCGGCAAAUGACCGCGAGCAGGAUGCGAGUGCCACGGCGCAGACCCCACGAAAGUGUUGAAAAUAGUUAAUUAAAGUGUUAUGGAUGUGUGAAAAUGCAAUGAAAAUGCGCUUAUGAAUUGGGCUUCAGCACUAAAGAGGAGAGCGGUGUGAAAACGCUAUUCCAGAUCGGCCAAAGCUCAGCUCAGACAAUCUUGUCUCAGUGAAAGCGAAUUUCGUAUGCAUCUCUUGGCAGGGAACCUCCACGCAUUGCGUGAAUCUCUGACUGCAGUUCACGGAAAGAAAAACCUGCGAAGAGAACUCGUUGAAAGCUAAUUUGGUGGAGUUUCGAUCGUUGCUUUUUAAUUGUCAACAGAAAUAGCUUGGAACACAAUACCCGUUUUCUUUUUGUUACUAAAGUACACUCAAUACAAUACAGUUCAAUCUUAUAAUCAAUAUUUGCUAUUUGGUUUAAACUGGAAUAAAUACGUUACCAAAAGAUAAUUUUCUUUUUAUAGAAAUAUUUUAACAAUAUGUACAAUAUGUACACCAACCAAUUUCGACUUAAAGAAGUACACAUAUAAAUUGUACAUUUUUAUUUACAAAAUGCGCAACGGUGGUAAAAAAAAUGUUUUUAUGAUUACAAAUUAAAUAUUAAUUGAACUUACUCCACGGAGCGUGAAGGGAUGUAAAUGUGAUCAAGCGCUGAAUGUUGAGUUAUUUGACACUUAAUUAAUUUUUGUAUUCGCUGUCUUGGAAGCUGGGAGUCGCUGCCUUGCAGAAAACAUGAGAAACGACACUUUCACUGCAUUGGCCCCGCAGACCUCGAAACCAAGUCCCCGCCCAAAUGAAUGGCCACCUUUGCAGCUGAAACCCAGAGUGCAUCGCAUCGGGAUUGGAUAAGGCCUGUGAACCGCUUUUUGUUCUAUUGUUGUGGCUGGCCAUAUCAACAGCUGCAGACCUUAAACGCCGAAAUCUGUGGCAGUGGAAAAGAGCAGAGCAGAGCAGAGCGGAGCGGAGCGGAGCAUGAAUAUAUGUAUAUAUAUACAACAACAUUCACUGAGGCGGCGCGUGCAGCUCUGCAGCUGGAAAAUGCAAGCCAACAAACUUACUGACUCAAAAAGUGCAUGAAUGAACGACCGAACGGAUGACGAAGUGAGUGCCGGACCUAGCACUCCCAAUUGCCAUUCCCAUUGCCAUGGCCAUUACCAUUACCAUCACCAUUACCAUUACCGUCAGGUGGGUGUUGACAUACACCGAAACAAAAAAUGACAACAGACUCCCACACUGCCAAUGAUGGUACUGACGGCACUGCAGUCAAUCACGGAGUGAAACCGCAAAACAACCUGCAACUGCCACUUAAUAUCUUUAUUUUGAGCAUACAGAGCGGCAACAUUGAGUCAAGUGGGCGUCAUUUAUUUGGCCCAGUUCAAAACAAAAAAACUGAAAACCCCAAGAUGAGUGGAGUUUUUAGUUUUUCUUGAAAAGUCGUUAUUUAGAAAAAGAAAUAAGUAUAAGUAGAAAAAGUAUUUUUUCAGAGAAAUAAGUAAGCUUUAAAAGAAUGAAUAGAGUGUAUUAUAAAAAUGCUCAAAUUAAUAGCUUUUUAACAAAAUGCAUAGCUUUUAAACUUUUUUAAAAAUGAUUGUGACUUUUGACUGGUUUCUUUUAAGUUAUGCGUUUUCUUUAGAUGCAAUAUUUUCGGUUUUUUAAGUAACUGAAUUUAUGCAGUCAAGUGACUCAUCAGUUUGAUAGGCAUAUUUAACUUGGUACUUAACGCAGCAAUUGACAACACUUAAUUUUCACACAAACACACUUAACCAACUUUAAAAACAUGAGUGGAGUUUCCAACUGCGGGUAGCCGUCAAAUACAGUGGUAAUUGACUUUCUUUGUGCCGUUUAUUGCAGUGUAAAUGUGAGAAUUUUCCAGGGAGGAGGUUUACGACAUAGUCGUAAUGCCCGAACCUGCGUCUAAAGAUGCAAGCUCACUCUUACUCACUUAUGACCGCCUUAAUGGCCCACUGUCUGCUGGAAUAAUAGGGAGUUUGGUUGGCCGCCCUGUCAUGGGAACAGCGGCCUAAGCCCCGCGGCGCAGGAAAAGGUCAGAUCAGACAGACGCAGGCAAAUUAGCGGUCUGUGCUGUAAUCAUUUAGCUGAAAAACCUGCCACGCCCAUUAGCAUAACCGCCGAGCAGGCCCACCUGGCAACCGCCGCCGGAGAUACAAAUUAUAAAUGCACGAGUCCGACUCGAAAUCGGAAUCGGAGGCAUCACUUUCACUUUCCGUGGAACGCUAAUAUGCAUCUAGCGAGCCAAAAUCGAAAACACAAACCAAAAAUAAAACAUUUAUGGAUAUGGCUCACACUCGAAAUUAUCUAAUUCAGCGGGCAUAAUCAAAACGGUAAGGCUAAUUCCAUGACGCGAUGACGCUGUCGAUGGCAUCCAUUGCGAAAUCGGAGCACGGAUGUCUCGGAGACAUUUUCAAGUCCACACGUAGGGCAUAUUGACUAUAUUGACAGGUAGACUUCAUUUACUUAAUAAUGCUUCCAAAGUUAAACAAAAUUGUUGGUAAAUGGAACAAAUUUAAUUGAAAUACGUUAGUAGCGGGAUAUUUAAAAAAUUAUUACGAGAUCACUUAUUAAAUAAAAGAGUGUAUAUUUGUUUUGUGAUACUUUAACUUCUACUUACAUUAAGUAAAAAAAAAUAUAAUUGUUAGCUUGUAAAUAUUUGAUUUAACAUAAGUAUAUAUAAUAUUAUUCAUUAAAUCGAAAUCCAACUAUAAAACUUUGUAAGUCUUUCUUAAAAGUAGAGAGUGUAUGAUUAAUGCGGAGCUCGGUGUUCGUGAUGUUUCCAUUUCUUGUUUACUGCAGCAUUUAUUUAAUAAUUUAUUAGCGUUUGUUUUUC